AUGGCGUCGGCCACGUCGCCCACGCCGCCGUGGGUCAUCCUGGGCAGCGUGCCGCGGGUGCUCUCGGCCGCCGCCGCAGCCGCAUCCCUCCCGCCGGGCCCGGGCAGCGCCGACUUCUCCCUCGAGCUGCCGCCGCCCCCGCGCGUCGCGCUCCUCACCAUCCCGCCGCGCAUCUUCCCGUCCCGCCCCACUCGCGCCAGCUACCCCUGCGUCCUCGCCGCCGACUCCUCCGCGGGCCUCCUCCUCCUCCACGCCGACCAGGGCCACGCCACGGGCCCCACCGUCAUCGACAAGCCCGGCCACCAGCAGUUCGGCUGGCUCCCGUUCGUCGCGGGCUACUUCGUGCUCCACGCCGCCACCGGCUCCGCCCUGCCACUCCCCACGCCCGAGCUCGUCUCCUACAAGGGCGACCUCGGCCUCAUCGCCUACCCCGACGGCGCGGGCUACGUGGUCGCCGAGCUCCAGCCCGUCUUCGGCAGCGACAAGGCCGUUCUCCUGCGCUUCUCGUCGCAGGUCGGGGAGUGGGUCAGCAAGAGAGUCGCCUACCCGCUUCCGGCCCGCCUGCACAACCCCGACGGCGUCGUCUCCUGCUACGGGAGGCUCUGGUGGGUCGACCUCUCCUGGAGCCUCGUCACCUGCGACCCCUUCGCCGACGACCCCGUCCUCACCCGUGUCAAGCUCCCCGAGGGCACGGCGCUCAAGUACAGGGUAGCCUGGGGGCUGCUCGAAAAGUACCGCUGCGUCGGCGUCAGCGCCGGCAAGCUGCGGUUCGUCGACAUGUACCGCAACAGCAACAGCAACGGGGCCGCGCAGAUCAGCGUCUGGACGCUCGCCGACUAUCCGCCGUACUCCACCGAGUGGACGCUGGACUGCGAGGCCACCUUCGCGGAGAUCUGCAACGACGCCAGCUACAAGGCCACUGGUCUGCCGAGGAAGAUCCCCGUGCUCGCGCUCAUCCAUCCCACCAACCCCGACGUGGUCUACUUCUUCCAGGACGAGCACCUGAUCGGCGUCGACGUGCGUGCUCGCAAGGUCGUGGGGUGCGAGGUCUACGAGCUGGUUGAUGAGCCGCCGUGCGAAGGCGUCUCUUCCCGCUUCGUUCACGCCUGGCAGCUGCCACCGUCUCUCAGUCUCUCUCUCUGCUCAGGUUCUGCAAAGGAGACAGUCAACGUUGAUGGAAUCUGUACGAUUAUCUGA
Molecule: ribosomal RNA, 1197 nt
Filed under: Triticum aestivum (bread wheat)
Lineage: Eukaryota; Viridiplantae; Streptophyta; Magnoliopsida; Poales; Poaceae
Description: partial small subunit ribosomal RNA
Source: RNAcentral